GAUGAACGCUAGCGGCAGGCCUAAUACAUGCAAGUCGAACGGAUAUAUGUUUUUCGGAAUAUAUAUUAGUGGCGCACGGGUGAGUAACACGUACAUAACUUGCCCUCAAGCGGGGGAUAGCCUUGGGAAACUGAGAGUAAUACCCCAUAGAAUUAUUGGACGGCAUCGUUUGAUAAUUAAAACUACGGUGUUUGGGGAUAGAUGUGCGUCUGAUUAGCUAGUUGGUGAGGUAACUGCUCACCAAGGCGACGAUCAGUAGGGGGCGUGAGAGCGUGGCCCCCCCACACGGGUACUGAGACACGGACCCGACUCCUACGGGAGGCAGCAGUAAGGAAUAUUGGUCAAUGGAGGGAACUCUGAACCAGCCAUGCCGCGUGAAGGAUGACGGCCCUCUGGGUUGUAAACUUCUUUUGGAUGGGGCGAAAAAACGGGAUUUAUCCUGGACUGACGGUACCAUCAGAAUAAGCACCGGCUAACUCCGUGCCAGCAGACGCGGUAAAGUAGUCGUGU
This 510-nucleotide ribosomal RNA is filed under the name uncultured bacterium. RNAcentral describes it as "bacterial SSU rRNA". It matches the Rfam family "Bacterial small subunit ribosomal RNA", at positions 28 to 533 of the family's 1533-position model. The record is from RNAcentral.